This 472-nucleotide ribosomal RNA is filed under the name uncultured bacterium. RNAcentral's name for it is "bacterial SSU rRNA". It matches the Rfam family "Bacterial small subunit ribosomal RNA", at positions 335 to 798 of the family's 1533-position model. The record is from RNAcentral.
ACUCCUACGGGAGGCAGCAGUGGGGAAUAUUGCACAAUGGGCGCAAGCCUGAUGCAGCCAUGCCGCGUGUAUGAAGAAGGCCUUCGGGUUGUAAAGUACUUUCAGCAGUGAGGAAGGUGGGUAUGUUAAUAGCAUACUCAUUUGACGUUAGCUGCAGAAGAAGCACCGGCUAACUCCGUGCCAGCAGCCGCGGUAAUACGGAGGGUGCGAGCGUUAAUCGGAAUUACUGGGCGUAAAGCGCAUGCAGGUGGUUUGUUAAGUCAGAUGUGAAAGCCCGGGGCUCAACCUCGGAAUUGCAUUUGAAACUGGCAAACUAGAGUACUGUAGAGGGGGUAGAAUUUCAGGUGUAGCGGUGAAAUGCGUAGAGAUCUGAAGGAAUACCGGUGGCGAAGGCGGCCCCCUGGACAGAUACUGACACUCAGAUGCGAAAGCGUGGGGAGCAAACAGGAUUAGAUACCCCUUGUAGCGCUAC